This 253-nucleotide ribosomal RNA is filed under the name uncultured bacterium. RNAcentral describes it as "partial 16S ribosomal RNA". It matches the Rfam family "Bacterial small subunit ribosomal RNA", at positions 524 to 776 of the family's 1533-position model. The record is from RNAcentral.
UACGUAGGGUGCGAGCGCUGUCCGGAAUUAUUGGGCGUAAAGAGCUUGUAGGCGGUUUGUCGCGUCUGCCGUGAAAAUCCGGGGCUCAACCCCGGACUUGCGGUGGGUACGGGCAGACUAGAGUGUGGUAGGGGAGACUGGAAUUCCUGGUGUAGCGGUGAAAUGCGCAGAUAUCAGGAGGAACACCGAUGGCGAAGGCAGGUCUCUGGGCCACUACUGACGCUGAGAAGCGAAAGCGUGGGGAGCAAACAGG